AUACGGAAGGUCCGGGCGUUAUCCGGAUUUAUUGGGUUUAAAGGGAGCGCAGGCGGAGAUGCAAGCGUGACGUCAAAUUUCGGGGCUCAACCCCGUCUCGCGUCGCGAACUGCGUCCCUUGGUUGCGGGAAGGGGAGGCGGAACUCGUGGUGUAGCGGUGAAAUGCAUAGAUAUCACGAAGAACUCCGAUCGCGAAGGCAGCCUUCAGGCCCGUCAACGACGCUCAUGCUCGAAGGUGCGGGUAUCAAACAGGAUUAGAUACCCUGGUAGUCCGCACAGUAAACGAUGGACACCCGCGGUUUGGCCUGUAUGGCUGAGCCGCCAAGCGAAAGCGUUAAGUGUCCCACCUGGGGAGUACGCCGGCAACGGUGAAACUCAAAGGAAUUGACGGGG
Molecule: ribosomal RNA, 393 nt
Filed under: uncultured bacterium
Lineage: Bacteria
Description: partial 16S ribosomal RNA
Rfam family: Bacterial small subunit ribosomal RNA
Source: RNAcentral